This 608-nucleotide ribosomal RNA is filed under the name uncultured Actinomycetes bacterium. RNAcentral describes it as "bacterial SSU rRNA". It matches the Rfam family "Bacterial small subunit ribosomal RNA", at positions 256 to 861 of the family's 1533-position model. The record is from RNAcentral. Lineage: Bacteria; Bacillati; Actinomycetota; Actinomycetes.
GGUGAUGGCCUACCAAGGCGACGACGGGUAGCCGGCCUGAGAGGGCGACCGGUCACACUGGGACUGAGACACGGCCCAGACUCCUACGGGAGGCAGCAGUGGGGAAUAUUGCGCAAUGGGCGGAAGCCUGACGCAGCGACGCCGCGUGGGGGAUGACGGCCUUCGGGUUGUAAACCCCUUUCAGCAUCGACGAAGCUUCAUCCUUUCAGGGUGGGGUGACGGUAGGUGCAGAAUAAGCGCCGGCUAACUACGUGCCAGCAGCCGCGGUAAUACGUAGGGCGCGAGCGUUGUCCGGAAUUAUUGGGCGUAAAGAGCUCGUAGGCGGUCUGUCGCGUCUGUCGUGAAAGCCCACGGCUUAACUGUGGGUCUGCGGUGGAUACGGGCAGGCUAGAGGCAGGUAGGGGAGCAUGGAAUUCCCGGUGUAGCGGUGAAAUGCGCAGAUAUCGGGAGGAACACCGGUGGCGAAGGCGGUGCUCUGGGCCUGUUCUGACGCUGAGGAGCGAAAGCGUGGGGAGCGAACAGGAUUAGAUACCCUGGUAGUCCACGCCGUAAACGUUGGGCGCUAGGUGGGGGUUCUUCCACGGAUACCGCGCCGUAGCUAACGCUUU